UGUGUGGAAGUUCCGGAGCAGAUCUUGGAAGUAGUAGCAUCAUUUGUAUGUGCCAAUGGAGGCGGGUUUGUCCUUUUAAUAGAAGGAAGUGAUACGAGCCUAGUAAAAGGGAAUAUAGUAGAUAUUCUAUAUAGAUGUACCUAUGUGGCGACACGACAGCGACCCCAACGACGUGUGCCGGUGAGAAUUUUCCGGGACACCCAGAUCUUAUGAGCGUCACGCUGAGACUAAGAACGAGUUGGGCGGUGAAAAUGAAGGAACAUCCUCGUACCGAACCGCAACAGGACUCCUAGGUGAGAAGCCUAAGGCAUAAUUGUAAUGUGAGCAAGGGAAAUCGGCAAAAUGGAUGAAAAACCUCGGGAUAAUCAUUGGCUCUAGCAUGCUAGAACUGGGCUUACAAGGGGAAUCUGACUGUUUAAUAAAAACAUAGCUUUGUGUGUACGCAAAGUGAAUUCUGCCCAGUGCUUGGGACGUUAAGGAAGUAAUUUUAAGUACGCACCUGUAAACGGCGGGAGUAACUAUGACUCUCUUAAGGUAGCCAAAUGCCUCGUCGCCUAAUUAGCGACGCGCAUGAAUGGAGCAACGAGAUUCCCACUGUCCCUGCUCACAGAUUUGCGAACCUACAGCCAAGGGAACGGGCUUGGGACAUGCAGCGGGGAAAGAAGACCCUGUUGAGCUUGACUCUAGCCAAGCACAGGCCUCUGUGACUAUAUCGUAGCGAGGUGGGAGAAAUGUGUGAGACCACUGACAUAGUCGGCGGGGGCACUCGCAAAGCUUGGUGGGGAGUUUGGCUGGGGCGGCACGACUACUAAAACAUAACGUAGACGUCCAAAGGUAAGCUCCGAGGGGAUGGAAACCACUCCGAGAGUAUAAGGGCAAAAGCUUGCUUUAGUUAUUAAUGUAAAUUAAUAAUACUGGAAACAGGGGCCUAGAGAUCCUCUAUGAAACUAAGCAUAGAGGUGACGGAAAAGUUACCACAGGGAUAACUGGCUUGUGGCGGCCGAGCGUCCAUAGCGACGCCGCUUUUUGAUUCUUCAAGGUCGGCUCUUCCGAGCAUGGGGGAAUAUCAGCCACCAAGUGGUGUGAUUGUUCACCAACUUACAAGGGAACGUGAACCUGGGUUUAAACCGUCCCGAGAAAGGGUAAUUUUUACCCUACGGCAUUCCCUU
This 1169-nucleotide non-coding RNA is filed under the name Enterocytozoon bieneusi H348. RNAcentral's name for it is "Eukaryotic large subunit ribosomal RNA". It matches the Rfam family "Eukaryotic large subunit ribosomal RNA", at positions 1424 to 3008 of the family's 3401-position model. The record is from Rfam by way of RNAcentral. Lineage: Eukaryota; Fungi; Microsporidia; Enterocytozoonidae.